AGCCCAGAACCCACUCUAAAAAACGGGGCGUAUCCGAAAAGCCUUAUGAGUAGGAAAAAA
OM182 bacterium is the source of this 60-nucleotide non-coding RNA. Lineage: Bacteria; Pseudomonadati; Pseudomonadota; Gammaproteobacteria. The record is from Rfam.